This 842-nucleotide ribosomal RNA is filed under the name uncultured bacterium. RNAcentral describes it as "bacterial SSU rRNA". It matches the Rfam family "Bacterial small subunit ribosomal RNA", at positions 62 to 872 of the family's 1533-position model. The record is from RNAcentral.
UCGAGCGAGCUUGCCAUAGAAGUUCUUCGGAAUGGAAAUAGAUACAAGCUAGCGGCGGAUGGGUGAGUAACGCGUGGGUAACCUGCCCUUAAGUCUGGGAUACCAUUUGGAAACAGAUGCUAAUACCAGAUAAAAGCUACUUUCGCAUGAAAGAAGUUUAAAAGGCGGCGUAAGCUGUCGCUAAAGGAUGGACCUGCGAUGCAUUAGCUAGUUGGUAAGGUAACGGCUUACCAAGGCGAUGAUGCAUAGCCGAGUUGAGAGACUGAUCGGCACAUUGGGACUGAGACACGGCCCAAACUCCUACGGGAGGCAGCAGUAGGGAAUCUUCCACAAUGGACGAAAGUCUGAUGGAGCAACGCCGCGUGAGUGAAGAAGGUUUUCGGAUCGUAAAGCUCUGUUGUUGGUGAAGAAGGAUAGAGGUAGUAACUGGCCUUUAUUUGACGGUAAUCAACCAGAAAGUCACGGCUAACUACGUGCCAGCAGCCGCGGUAAUACGUAGGUGGCAAGCGUUGUCCGGAUUUAUUGGGCGUAAAGCGAGCGCAGGCGGAUUGAUAAGUCUGAUGUGAAAGCCUUCGGCUCAACCGAAGAACUGCAUCAGAAACUGUCAAUCUUGAGUGCAGAAGAGGAGAGUGGAACUCCAUGUGUAGCGGUGGAAUGCGUAGAUAUAUGGAAGAACACCAGUGGCGAAGGCGGCUCUCUGGUCUGUAACUGACGCUGAGGCUCGAAAGCAUGGGUAGCGAACAGGAUUAGAUACCCUGGUAGUCCAUGCCGUAAACGAUGAGUGCUAAGUGUUGGGAGGUUUCCGCCUCUCAGUGCUGCAGCUAACGCAUUAAGCACUCCGC